Small nuclear RNA from Schistocerca americana (American grasshopper), 117 nucleotides. RefSeq annotates it as U5 spliceosomal RNA. The transcript has a single exon. NCBI's taxonomy places the organism in Eukaryota, Metazoa, Arthropoda, Insecta, Orthoptera, Acrididae. The record is from RefSeq and is a predicted model, not a curated record.
ACACUCUGAUUCCACUUCAAGACGCGUAAAUCUUUCGCCUUCUGCUAAAGAUAUCCGUGUAUGGGUACAAUAAAUAGUACACUGUAUUAGGUUUUGCUUGACAAUGUUUCGAAGUCG